AGUGAACGCUGGCGGUAGGCCUAACACAUGCAAGUCGAACGGCAGCACAGUAAGAGCUUGCUCUUACGGGUGGCGAGUGGCGGACGGGUGAGGAAUACAUCGGAAUCUACUUUUUCGUGGGGGAUAACGUAGGGAAACUUACGCUAAUACCGCAUACGACCUACGGGUGAGAGCAGGGGAUCUUCGGACCUUGCGCGAUUGAAUGAGCCGAUGUCGGAUUAGCUAGUUGGCGGGGUAAAGGCCCACCAAGGCGACGAUCCGUAGCUGGUCUGAGAGGAUGAUCAGCCACACUGGAACUGAGACACGGUCCAGACUCCUACGGGAGGCAGCAGUGGGGAAUAUUGGACAAUGGGCGCAAGCCUGAUCCAGUCAUACCGCGUGGGUGAAGAAGGCCUUCGGGUUGUAAAGCCCUUUUGUUGGGAAAGAAAAGCAGCAGGUUAAUACCCCGCUGUUCUGACGGUACCCAAAGAAUAAGCACCGGCUAACUUCGUG
RNAcentral lists this ribosomal RNA (492 nucleotides) under uncultured bacterium. Its description in RNAcentral is "partial 16S ribosomal RNA". It matches the Rfam family "Bacterial small subunit ribosomal RNA", at positions 29 to 507 of the family's 1533-position model. The record is from RNAcentral.